RNAcentral lists this ribosomal RNA (443 nucleotides) under uncultured bacterium. RNAcentral's name for it is "partial 16S ribosomal RNA". It matches the Rfam family "Bacterial small subunit ribosomal RNA", at positions 338 to 795 of the family's 1533-position model. The record is from RNAcentral.
CCUACGGGUGGCAGCAGUGGGGAAUAUUGGGCAAUGGGCGCAAGCCUGACCCAGCAACGCCGCGUGAAGGAAGAAGGCUUUCGGGUUGUACACUUCUUUUCUCAGGGACGAAGGAAGUGACGGUACCUGAGGAAUAAGCCACGGCUAACUACGUGCCAGCAGCCGCGGUAAUACGUAGGUGGCAAGCGUUAUCCGGAUUUAUUGGGUGUAAAGGGCGGGUAGGCGGGAGCGCAAGUCAGAUGUGAAAACUCAGGGCUCAACCCUGGGCCUGCAUUUGAAACUGUGUUUCUUGAGUGCUGGAGAGGCGAUCGGAAUUCCGUGUGUAGCGGUGAAAUGCGUAGAUAUACGGAGGAACACCAGUGGCGAAGGCGGUCUGCUGGACAGCAACUGACGCUGAGGCGCGAAAGCGUGGGGAGCAAACAGGAUUAGAUACCCCAGUAGUC